Molecule: ribosomal RNA, 253 nt
Filed under: uncultured Gemmatimonas sp.
Lineage: Bacteria; Pseudomonadati; Gemmatimonadota; Gemmatimonadia; Gemmatimonadales; Gemmatimonadaceae
Description: partial 16S ribosomal RNA
Rfam family: Bacterial small subunit ribosomal RNA
Source: RNAcentral
UACGGAGGGUGCGAGCGUUGUCCGGAAUCACUGGGCGUAAAGGGCGCGUAGGCGGCCCGCGAAGCGUGGGGUGAAAGUCCGGGGCUCAACCCCGGAUCGGCCCUGCGAACUUGCGGGCUGGAGCACUGUAGGGGCGGGUGGAAUUCCGGGUGUAGCGGUGGAAUGCGUAGAGAUCCGGAAGAACACCGGUGGCGAAGGCGGCCCGCUGGGCAGUGGCUGACGCUGAGGCGCGACAGCGUGGGGAGCAAACAGG